Molecule: long non-coding RNA, 558 nt
Organism: Mauremys mutica (yellowpond turtle)
Lineage: Eukaryota; Metazoa; Chordata; Testudines; Geoemydidae
Exons: 2
Source: RefSeq, a predicted model, not a curated record
UGUCUGCAGCCUGGCUGGAGGGGGAAGGAGGAGACGAGAAACCAAUGUGACAAUAAAGGCCACACAGCCCUCUUGCCUCCCCAAGGAACACCUGCAGCUGCCUCUGCUUAGAAGACAGCACCUGCUGCUUCUCUUUGCUGCUGCCACCAGCACCACAUAGGAACAUCCCAGAAUGCGCUGUGGGAACUGGCACAAGGAAUAGGAGAAAGCUACUAUGGCCUUUGAAAAGAGUAUUGUUCCAAUGCCUUUCCCAGAGACCUCUCUCAGGCUUGUGGGCAGAGAAAAAAGAUUAUCAAAGUAGGCUAAUCAUGGUGGCUUAUGUGGAUUGGAGAACUUCUCAGCAGAAAUGCUCUUGGACGUUGGAGAAGUGGGGUAGAAGUGAAGAACCUACAGGCACUCUCAUUCCGAAGUCUGGGAGGAGGCUGAGCUGAAGAUGCUCUUGGUGGUGUCCUCCCUGAGCUCUGUGUGUAUGUGUGUGUAAAAGAAGAAGAGCUUAGUAACAGCCUUCCCCACUCCAUGAUCUUGAAAAGGAGCCUAGAAAUAAUAUUGAGGAUAAGA